GGAGAACUGUUAUCUCGGGGAGAUCCCGAUCUCUCCUACCAGCAACUCGAGAUCUCUACGAGAUUACAGUUUUUGGGGGAAAUGUGUCCUCAGAACUGCUUAAUCGUAGAAGCUUCCUAG
Molecule: microRNA precursor, 120 nt
Filed under: Gallid alphaherpesvirus 2
Lineage: Duplodnaviria; Heunggongvirae; Peploviricota; Herviviricetes; Herpesvirales; Orthoherpesviridae
Description: microRNA mdv1-mir-M7 precursor
Gene: mdv1-mir-M7
Rfam family: mir-M7 microRNA precursor family (bases 5-71)
Source: miRBase by way of RNAcentral